RNAcentral lists this ribosomal RNA (253 nucleotides) under uncultured bacterium. RNAcentral describes it as "partial 16S ribosomal RNA". It matches the Rfam family "Bacterial small subunit ribosomal RNA", at positions 524 to 776 of the family's 1533-position model. The record is from RNAcentral.
GACGGGGGAUGCAAGUGUUUUCCGGAAUCACUGGGCGUAAAGCGUCUGUAGGUGGUGAUGCAAGUCACUGGUGCAAAACUCUGGCUCAACCGGAGGAAAGCCAGUGAAACUGCAUGACUAGAGUGUGGGAGAGGUAGAAGGAAUUCCCUGAGUAGCGGUGAAAUGCGUAGAUACAGGGAAGAACACCGGAGGCGAAAGCGUUCUACUGGAACACAACUGACACUGAGAGACGAAAGCUAGGGGAGCGAAGGGG